This 223-nucleotide long non-coding RNA is filed under the name Volvox carteri. RNAcentral describes it as "long non-coding RNA (VCAR_LNC004278)". The record is from RNAcentral. Lineage: Eukaryota; Viridiplantae; Chlorophyta; Chlorophyceae; Chlamydomonadales; Volvocaceae.
ACAAGCCCCCCACGCCGCACACCCGACAGGAAAACCUAACCCACUCUCUUUGAUGGGCCCAUGACGGAACACUUUGCAACACCCCCUUAAAAUUUCCAUUCCGUCUGGAAGCCUUGUUUGUUGAAAUGCUUGGCAUUCUCAAGGAUCCAUAUAGAGGUUUACAGUAAUUGAGUGUGGCGCUUCGGGUGCGAAACAAUUCAAAUGCGGAGGCGUGCGUGUACUG